RNAcentral lists this ribosomal RNA (412 nucleotides) under uncultured bacterium. Its description in RNAcentral is "bacterial SSU rRNA". It matches the Rfam family "Bacterial small subunit ribosomal RNA", at positions 917 to 1333 of the family's 1533-position model. The record is from RNAcentral.
GGGCCCGCACAAGCGGUGGAGCAUGUGGUUUAAUUCGAUGAUACGCGAGGAACCUUACCAGGGCUUAAAUGUAAGUUGCAUUAGUUAGAGAUAGCUAUUUCUUCGGACUACUUACAAGGUGCUGCAUGGUUGUCGUCAGCUCGUGCCGUGAGGUGUCAGGUUAAGUCCUAUAACGAGCGCAACCCCUGUUGUUAGUUGCCAGCGAUUCAAGUCGGGAACUCUAACAAGACUGCCGGUGCAAACCGUGAGGAAGGUGGGGAUGACGUCAAAUCAUCACGGCCCUUACGUCCUGGGCUACACACGUGCUACAAUGGUAGGGACAGAGAGCAGCCACUACGCGAGUAGGAGCGAAUCUAUAAACCGGUCUCAGUUCGGAUCGGGGUCUGCAACUCGGCCCCGUGAAGCUGGAAUC